GGGAGUGUGGGGUAGUGGUUUGAGUGUUGGACUACAACUCUGAAGACCAGGGUUCAAUUCGCUGCUCAGCCA
Phrynosoma platyrhinos (Desert horned lizard) is the source of this 72-nucleotide non-coding RNA. NCBI's taxonomy places the organism in Eukaryota, Metazoa, Chordata, Lepidosauria, Squamata, Phrynosomatidae. The record is from the annotation of a GenBank genome assembly.